AUUCCAGCUCCAAUAGCGUAUAUUAAAGUUGUUGCAGUUAAAAAGCUCGUAGUUGGAGUUCAGAUUGAGCUCGGCCGGUCGGCCUAAUUGGUCAGAACUGGUUGACUCUGUCUUGUUUGUGGAUCCCUCCGGAGUUAACUCUUCGGAUGUGGAGUCCACAUCGUUUACCUUGAAAAAAUUAGAGUGUUCAAAGCAGGCGUUUGCUUGAAUAUAUUAGCAUGGAAUAAUGGAAUAGGACGCUGGUUCUAUUUUGUUGGUUUUGAGAACCAGAGUAAUGAUUAAUAGGGACAGUUGGGGGCAUUCAUAUUUCAUUGUCAGAGGUGAAAUUCUUGGAUUUAUGAAAGAUGAACUUCUGCGAAAGCAUUUGCCAAGGAUGUUUUCAUUG
Molecule: ribosomal RNA, 385 nt
Filed under: Telonemia sp.
Lineage: Eukaryota; Telonemia
Description: partial small subunit ribosomal RNA
Rfam family: Eukaryotic small subunit ribosomal RNA
Source: RNAcentral